AGUGAACGCUGGCGGUAGGCCUAACACAUGCCAGUCGAACGGCAGCACAGUAAGAGCUUGCUCUUACGGGUGGCGGGUGGCGGACGGGUGAGGAAUACAUCGGAAUCUACUUUUUCGUGGGGGAUAACGUAGGGAAACUUACGCUAAUACCGCAUACGACCUACGGGUGGAAGCAGGGGAUCUUCGGACCUUGCGCGAUUGAAUGAGCCGAUGUCGGAUUAGCUAGUUGGCGGGGUAAAGGCCCACCAAGGCGACGAUCCGUAGCUGGUCUGAGAGGAUGAUCAGCCACACUGGAACUGAGACACGGUCCAGACUCCUACGGGAGGCAGCAGUGGGGAAUAUUGGACAAUGGGCGCAAGCCUGAUCCAGCCAUACCGCGUGGGUGAAGAAGGCCUUCGGGUUGUAAAGCCCUUUUGUUGGGAAAGAAAAGCAGCAGGUUAAUACCCCGCUGUUCCGACGGUACCCAAAGAAUAAGCACCGGCUAACUUCGUG
Molecule: ribosomal RNA, 492 nt
Filed under: uncultured bacterium
Lineage: Bacteria
Description: partial 16S ribosomal RNA
Rfam family: Bacterial small subunit ribosomal RNA
Source: RNAcentral